RNAcentral lists this transfer RNA (76 nucleotides) under Heterocephalus glaber (naked mole-rat). It matches the Rfam family "tRNA". Rfam says of the family: Transfer RNA (tRNA) molecules are approximately 80 nucleotides in length. Their secondary structure includes four short double-helical elements and three loops (D, anti-codon, and T loops). Lineage: Eukaryota; Metazoa; Chordata; Mammalia; Rodentia; Bathyergidae. The record is from Rfam by way of RNAcentral.
GGAAGUGUAGCUCACUGGCAGAGCACCUGUCUAGAAUUCAUGAGGUCUUACCUGGGUUCAAUCUCCAGCACCAUUA